RNAcentral lists this transfer RNA (83 nucleotides) under Felis catus (domestic cat). It matches the Rfam family "tRNA". Rfam says of the family: Transfer RNA (tRNA) molecules are approximately 80 nucleotides in length. The record is from Rfam by way of RNAcentral. Lineage: Eukaryota; Metazoa; Chordata; Mammalia; Carnivora; Felidae.
GCCGGGUGGCUCAGUCGGUUGGGCGUCUGACUUCAGCUCAGGUCAUGAUCUCAGGUCUGUGGGUUUGAGCCCCGCCUCGGGCU